Molecule: ribosomal RNA, 970 nt
Filed under: Fictibacillus fluitans
Lineage: Bacteria; Bacillati; Bacillota; Bacilli; Caryophanales; Fictibacillaceae
Description: partial 23S ribosomal RNA
Rfam family: Bacterial large subunit ribosomal RNA
Source: RNAcentral
AAGGCUGAGCUGUGACGGCGAGGGAAAUUUAGUACCGAAGUCCCUGAUCCUACACUGCCAAGAAAAGCCUCUAGUGAGGAAAGAGGUGCCCGUACCGCAAACCGACACAGGUAGGCGAGGAGAGAAUCCUAAGAUGAUCGGGAGAACUCUCGUUAAGGAACUCGGCAAAAUGACCCCGUAACUUCGGGAGAAGGGGUGCUCUGGUAGGGUUUACGCCCGAGAGAGCCGCAGUGAAUAGAUCCAAGCGACUGUUUAGCAAAAACACAGGUCUCUGCGAAGCCGCAAGGCGAAGUAUAGGGGCUGACACCUGCCCGGUGCUGGAAGGUUAAGAGGAGGGGUUAUCCCUUACGGGAGAAGCUCUGAAUUGAAGCCCCAGUAAACGGCGGCCGUAACUAUAACGGUCCUAAGGUAGCGAAAUUCCUUGUCGGGUAAGUUCCGACCCGCACGAAAGGUGUAACGAUUUGGAUACUGUCUCAACGAGAGACCCGGUGAAAUUAUAGUACCUGUGAAGAUGCAGGUUACCCGCGACAGGACGGAAAGACCCCAUGGAGCUUUACUGCAGCUUGAUAUUGGAUUUUGGUACAGUUUGUACAGGAUAGGUAGGAGCCUGAGAAGUCGGAGCGCCAGCUUCGAUGGAGGCGUCGGUGGGAUACUACCCUGACUGUAUUGAAAUUCUAACCUGGAACCGUGAUCCGGUUCGGAGACAGUGUCAGGUGGGCAGUUUGACUGGGGCGGUCGCCUCCUAAAAUGUAACGGAGGCGCCCAAAGGUUCCCUCAGAAUGGUUGGAAAUCAUUCGCAGAGUGUAAAGGCACAAGGGAGCUUGACUGCGAGACCUACAAGUCGAGCAGGGACGAAAGUCGGGCUUAGUGAUCCGGUGGUUCCGCAUGGAAGGGCCAUCGCUCAACGGAUAAAAGCUACCCUGGGGAUAACAGGCUUAUCUCCCCCAAGAGUCCACAUCGACGGGGAGGU